CCUACGGGGGGCUGCAGUAAGGAAUAUUGGUCAAUGCCCGGAAGGGUGAACCAGCCAUCCCGCGUGAAGGAUGAAGGGGCUCUGCCUUGUAAACUUCUUUUGUAUGGGGCGAAAAAAGGGGAUUUAUCCUCGACUGACGGUACCAUAAGAAUAAGCACCGGCUAACUCCGUGCCAGCAGCCGCGGUAAUACGGAGGGUGCGAACGUUAUCCGGAAUCACUGGGUUUAAAGGGUGCGUAGGCUGUUUAAUAAGUCAGUGGUGAAAGGCCGUCGCUUAACGAUGGGACUGCCAUUGAUACUGUUAGACUUGAAUCAGGUUGAGGUUGGCGGAAUGUGGCAUGUAGCGGUGAAAUGCAUAGAUAUGCCAUGGAAUACCGAUUGCGAAGGCAGCUGACUGGACCUUGAUUGACGCUGAGGCACGAAAGCGUGGGUAGCGAACAGGCUUAGAUACCCCAGUAGUC
RNAcentral lists this ribosomal RNA (460 nucleotides) under uncultured Sphingobacteriales bacterium. RNAcentral describes it as "bacterial SSU rRNA". It matches the Rfam family "Bacterial small subunit ribosomal RNA", at positions 338 to 795 of the family's 1533-position model. The record is from RNAcentral. Lineage: Bacteria; Pseudomonadati; Bacteroidota; Sphingobacteriia; Sphingobacteriales.